AUCCAGCUGACGAGUCACAAAUACGACGAAACGCGCGUCAAACUGGAU
Molecule: non-coding RNA, 48 nt
Organism: Schistosoma rodhaini
Lineage: Eukaryota; Metazoa; Platyhelminthes; Trematoda; Strigeidida; Schistosomatidae
Source: Rfam